Molecule: long non-coding RNA, 3507 nt
Organism: Sapajus apella (tufted capuchin)
Lineage: Eukaryota; Metazoa; Chordata; Mammalia; Primates; Cebidae
Exons: 2
Source: RefSeq, a predicted model, not a curated record
CCUGACCUCAGGUGAUCUCCCUGCUUUGGCCUCCCACAGUGCUGGGAUUAUAGGUGUGAGUCACCAUGCUUGGCCUGAACCUGCACUUUAAUAUGCUGCCUGAGGAUUCUCUUAGGCUUUAAAGUUUGGAAGCCAUGGGUUCAGUUAGAUGGACCUAGAACGGUACUACAACUUUUCCAGGCAUUUCUGUAAAGACUCACAGGAGCCUGGAAAUAAUAGGAAGUUUAGGAUCCUCAAGUGUAACCCCCUUUGUCCUAAGAGGAAAAACAAAAACUCAUGAUUAGAAUUUUCUUCUGCUUCCUAAUUGGCUUGGUAUAAACGCAGCUUGUUCUUCACCUGUCCAGGAACUGAAAUAAAUACAGAUCCUGAUUUAUUGUAACUAAUCCAAAACAGGUGUGCCUUUUACAGCUGUGUUUUAUUUUGAGGAGUAGUUCAGUGGCAGGAAUUUGGGUGGCAGCAGGGGAGGCUGGUGAGAGGAGGGUCACUUGGCAGUAAGGUGGGUUUUAGUCCCUGUACCAAAUCCUCACCACUGCCUGCUGUUGGAGCUGAGUGCCAGAGACAUGGCCUCUCUUGGUCUUUCUUGGUCUUCUUUGGCUAUGAUAGAAGAUAAACUUGCAUCUCUAAAAGGAGAUGGAAAAAGCAUUGAGCUAACCAAUCAUGUAUCAAGGCAAAUGAUAAAGCUGUGGUCAUCAAGAUAGUGUGGGAGUUGCCGUCAAUAGAUAGAUAAACCAAACUGAGGAAAAAGUACAGAAUUCAAUACUGGAAUUUGGUUUAUGGAUAGAAAUAGUCUUUCAACUUGUAGGGAAGAGACAAGUACUUCAAUGCUGACGCAAUUAGCACCAUAUAGGAAAAAUGUCAGUGCCUUACAAUGGACCCCAAAUAAACUCUGCUGUUAUUUGAUCUCUGAGUUAAAAUUCAUAAAAAACUAGAAAGUACUGAAAAAAAUUUUCAAAAUGAUUUUCAUGAUCUUGAGAGAUAUAGGAUCUUCUUGGGACAAGAAGAACAAAAUAAAAAGAAAGAAAAAGAAAGAAAUAUCAAUAAUUUUGAUUUUGUCAAGUUAAUUUUUUUCUAUAGAACAAAAAUACCACAAAGAAAAUUAAAGUGACACACUCUGUAUGUAGGACAUUGUAAUAGACAAAGAUUAUUUUCCAAGGUGUAUAAAAAUCAAAUAGAUAAAACACCCCUCACAAUUGAAUUGUUCUUAAAAGGUAAAUAUAUAUGAAGUUCAUGGAAGAGAUAAAUGAACAAUAAAUAUGCAAGAAGAUGCUCAACCUUAUGAGUAAUUAGGAAAAUACAAAUUUUAGAGAUAUGACAUCUUUCAUCAGAUAGAUAAAAAAUUAAAAGUAUAAUGUCAAGCUGAUAUUAGAAGGAAGUGAGUACAUUGCCAGUAAAAGAGUAAUUUGGCAAAAUCUCUUAGAACUGAAAAGGUCAUUAGCCGUGAUGCAGCAGUUUCACUUCUCAAUACUGACUCUUGAGAGAGGCUUGCAUGAGGGCCCAAGGAAGCAUUGACAUCAUGAGUGUCGUAGAAUUGUUUCUAAGGAAACAUUUCUAAGGAAAUGUUCAUGGGUAACUGGCUAAAUAAAAUGUGGCCUGCUAAAAUGAUGGACACCUCAAAACAAUAGAAUUAGAAUGGUACAUUGAAGAAGAAUACAUGCAAUAUACACGAUUUAUGCCACCCAACUAUUCCACAGUAGUAUAUGUUAUUUGUGUAUACAUAUAUAAACACAUAAAAUUAUUUUUUAAGUCUGGAAGAAUACAUUCAAAAUAAUAAGAUUAACUCUGGAGAAGGAAACAAGAAACCUAACAUCUGGAGAGAGAUUGUUCUUAAAGUGAUAAUACCUCAUGCUAAUAAGACUGUGUGGACACAGAUUUUUCUGUUACACUGCUGGCAAGAGUGUAAAUUAGUACAACCCUUCUGGAUGCCAAAUUUGUGAUAUUUACUAAUCCUUUAACACGUAAAUUUUGGCCCUGUAAUUAGCUUAAGAAUAUUAUCAGAAGUAUAAAUAGAACCAUUGGGACAAGAGUUUUUAUUGUAACAUGGUUCACAAUAAUGGAACACUGAGAACAAUCUAACAAUGGAGGAAUAAUAAAAUAUAUUAUGGUACAAAAUUCUUUGGACUAUUAAGGCAUUAAAAAUCAUGCCUUCAAAAUAUUUAAGGAUAUUUUAAAAAUGCUUGGAAGCAAUUUCAAAGCAAUUAUAUAUGUUGUCUCUUCCCUUGAGAAACUUACAGGUUUACGAGAGAAAGAUUAGUCUCUUUGCCUGUGGCCACACCAUUUAUUGGCAGAACCAAAACUACCGUAUUGGUCAUUUUUCCCAGUUUAAUGCCCUUAUACCUCAUGGCAAUUCUAGCCUAAAUGAGUCCGUCUUAAAGUCACUUCUUUCACUCUUACCUGGCAAUACAUUUCAUAGUUUUAUAAACAAUGUCUGGUAACUGACAUUUCACAGUUUUAUAAACAAAAUGCCUCUAUUCCUCCUUUCUAGCUGUUUCACAACAUAAACUCUACUCUGGUUUACUGGAAAAAUAGUACGCAUAUUACAAUACUAUAGCUUUUUAAAAUCCCUUAAGAGACAAAAAAAAAAAAAAAAACCAGCAAGAGAAUAUUUUUCUUUGAUCACUGAGGGAAUAGUGUGAUCAUGAAUAGAUAUUGAAAGUUAGAUGCUGGAUAGGAGUCCCUCAAAGUCCAAGGGCUCUAAAAAUGAGUAUUAUAAAAAAUUAAGCCACUAGAUAUGGAUAAAAUUUCCUCUUACCGUAUUUCUAGAGCCAUAUACAGUAAGACUGUAUCAUAUGAGCUGCCAAAUUCCCACAGGGGGAGUAUCACUCAUACGAUGCUAUGGACUAAUGUUUUUAUCCCCUAAAAAUUCAUAAUAACCUCCAAUGUGAUACUGUUAGCAGGUGGAGUCUGUGGGAAGUAAUCAGGUUUAGAUGAGGUCAUGAGGCUGGAGCCCCAUGAUGGGAUUAGAACUCUUGUAAGGAGAGACACCAGACAGCUUGUUUCCUCUCUUCUUUCUGCCAUCUGAGGACACAAUGAGAAGGCAGCCACCUGCAAGUCAGGAAGAGAGCCCUCACCAAGAACUCAAUCAGAAACACCUUGAUCUUGGACUUCCCAGCUUCCAGAACUAGAAGAAAUAAAUGUCUCUUAUUUAAACCACACAAUAUAUGGCCUUUUGUGAUAGCAGCCUGAGCUAAGACAUAAAUUCACUCUCAGAAUUUACAUCCAUAGCUCCAGGUAAUUUGGGAGCUGUUUGGUACACAAAUGUAGUGAACUACUAAAGGCGUCCCUGUAGUCUAAAAUAGCUUCCAUGCAUACCUAAUUUAUACCAGAGGUUACUCUAUUCACUGGGAGACUGUAAGUUCUUACGAAUGAUGAUGUUGAUAUUGUGUUCAUGGCAUGACACCAACUGACAAUUUAGUAAGGCAUUUUUCUGAAAUGGAAUUGUUAUUUACCAAAAGUAAGCAGUAAGUCACAAAUCACAUCAGUCAGUUCUGUCAUUUAAAAGACUAAAAA